AACGAACGCUGGCGGCAUGCCUAACACAUGCAAGUCGAACGAGACCUUCGGGUCUAGUGGCGCACGGGUGCGUAACGCGUGGGAACCUGCCCUUAGGUUCGGAAUAACUCCCCGAAAGGGGUGCUAAUACCGGAUAAUGUCUUCGGACCAAAGAUUUAUCGCCUUUGGAUGGGCCCGCGUUGGAUUAGCUAGUUGGUAGGGUAAAAGCCUACCACGGCGACGAUCCAUAGCUGGUCUGAGAGGAUGAUCAGCCACACUGGGACUGAGACACGGCCCAGACUACUACGGGAGGCAGCAGUGGGGAAUAUUGGAAAAUGGGCGAAAGCCUGAUCCAGCAAUGCCGGGUGAGUGAUGAAGGCCUUAGGGUUGUAAAGCUCUUUUACCCGGGAUGAUAAUGACAGUACCGGGAGAAUAAGCACCGGCUAACUCCGUG
This 433-nucleotide ribosomal RNA is filed under the name uncultured bacterium. RNAcentral's name for it is "partial 16S ribosomal RNA". It matches the Rfam family "Bacterial small subunit ribosomal RNA", at positions 29 to 507 of the family's 1533-position model. The record is from RNAcentral.